CAACCGCCGCGGGAAUACAGAGGGUGCGAGCGUUAAUCGGAUUUACUGGGCGUAAAGCGUGCGUAGGCGGCUUCUUAAGUCGGAUGUGAAAUCCCUGAGCUUAACUUAGGAAUUGCAUUCGAUACUGGGAAGCUAGAGUAUGGGAGAGGAUGGUAGAAUUCCAGGUGUAGCGGUGAAAUGCGUAGAGAUCUGGAGGAAUACCGAUGGCGAAGGCAGCCAUCUGGCCUAAUACUGACGCUGAGGUACGAAAGCAUGGGGAGCAAACAGGAUUAGAUACCCCUGUAGUCCCUGUCUCUUAUAC
This 301-nucleotide ribosomal RNA is filed under the name uncultured bacterium. Its description in RNAcentral is "partial 16S ribosomal RNA". It matches the Rfam family "Bacterial small subunit ribosomal RNA", at positions 509 to 807 of the family's 1533-position model. The record is from RNAcentral.